RNAcentral lists this long non-coding RNA (1398 nucleotides) under Arabidopsis lyrata. RNAcentral's name for it is "long non-coding RNA (ALYR_LNC002920)". Lineage: Eukaryota; Viridiplantae; Streptophyta; Magnoliopsida; Brassicales; Brassicaceae. The record is from RNAcentral.
GCUUUGGUCAGUGCCUUUUGGCAUUCCCCGGAUUUGCAUUGGCGGAGAAACUUUGUCACCUUGAUUAGGAGAUUGCUGGUAAAGCACUUGCUCACGAGGAGGUGCACCUCUACCAUGACUUGUAGUCUGAGAAGGUUGAGCAGUGGGUACCCACAAAGAGCUGGAUUUUGUAUUCCCAAACUUCUUUCCAGUCGGAGUAGGGUUUUCACUAAUGUGCAGUCUACCCAUGCCAGCUUGUACAUCCUUUUGUGUCAAGUUAUUGGAGGAUCCUGAAGGAUAAAACGGAGGAGAAGCUGAAUUUAAACUUGAAGCUAAUACAUUCUUUUUGGCUUGGAUGGCUUCAGUCUCUAUGCUAGCUAUUUCUGUUGGUGGACGCCCUGAAUUAACGUGCGACACUUUCACAAACGAAUUUUGGGACCUAAUGAUUCAGUAGACGAGACACAAUAAUUAGAGAGAUAAAGCCUUCAUGUGUUGACUAGAGAGGAAACAAAAAUUAAAGACUCACCGUUUGGUUUGCACAGAAGGUGCUUGAUUCCCAUUUCUCAAUGCAACCUCAUAUCUUCUGGGGCCCCUCCCUCUCGUGACAGCCUUAGGAAGCUGAUUUUGGUGUCCAUUGCCAGUAAAUUCUUUAGAAUUGUUCCCUCGAGAAUGUCCACGAUCCUGACCCCUACCCUGACCACGACCUCUGCCUCGGCCUCUCGAAGUCUGCCUCUAUGUUCACAAGUUUUAUCAAUCAGCAAUUAAAAGGAAAGAAAGAAAAGAGGUGGCAAAUGUAUAAACACCGCAAGAGGAAACAAGUCAAUGAAUACAAAUGUAUUUAUGCAGAGGAGAGAGGAUCUAAGAUAACUAACAUCAUAUUGGUUUUCCGGUGUAUUCAUUUCUUCGUAUUUGUCAUGUCCCCACUUUCUUUCAUCUCUGGAUUGCCAGAGCCUCCUACCACCACGCAUUCGCCUACAGAAACGAAACGAAACGCUAUAUCAGUUGGCAUAACCAUGUAACUAACUAAACAGAAUGUUGAAUGAAAGUGCUUGUGAGAAUCUCGGCUAGAUUCAUACAUAGGGAUUGACAAUCAAAGGUAAACAUAAGAUUAACAAAGCAACAGCAGUUGUUCCAAUCGAUUUGAACUACAUGAUGACGGAAAGUUCCAAUCGAUUUAGUAACUUGAGCUAUCAAUAUAGUGUUCCUCCAUAGAAUGAUAGUAAAAAGUAGUUAACCUAUUAGAGGCGGCAUCAAUUUCCUGAAAUCUGUUAUCAUGCAUAUAGAAAGCUCCAGCAGUUGGCACUGCGAAAGGUUCCUUCUUCUUAUGGUGCUCUCCAUCCACAAGAGCAGGGGCAGAGUCCUCCUCGGUGCCAACAUGUCCAUCGUGAUCGUGAUCAUAAGUAUCAUCAUCCUCCUCAU